This 729-nucleotide ribosomal RNA is filed under the name uncultured Pseudomonadota bacterium. RNAcentral's name for it is "bacterial SSU rRNA". It matches the Rfam family "Bacterial small subunit ribosomal RNA", at positions 29 to 747 of the family's 1533-position model. Lineage: Bacteria; Pseudomonadati; Pseudomonadota. The record is from RNAcentral.
UUGAACGCUGGCGGCAGGCCUAACACAUGCAAGUCGAACGGUAACAGGAAACAGCUUGCUGUUUCGCUGACGAGUGGCGGACGGGUGAGUAAUGUCUGGGAAACUGCCUGAUGGAGGGGGAUAACUACUGGAAACGGUAGCUAAUACCGCAUAACGUCGCAAGACCAAAGAGGGGGACCCUCGGGCCUCUUGCCAUCGGAUGUGCCCAGAUGGGAUUAGCUUGUUGGUGGGGUAACGGCUCACCAAGGCGACGAUCCCUAGCUGGUCUGAGAGGAUGACCAGCCACACUGGAACUGAGACACGGUCCAGACUCCUACGGGAGGCAGCAGUGGGGAAUAUUGCACAAUGGGCGCAAGCCUGAUGCAGCCAUGCCGCGUGUAUGAAGAAGGCCUUCGGGUUGUAAAGUACUUUCAGCGGGGAGGAAGGGAGUAAAGUUAAUACCUUUGCUCAUUGACGUUACCCGCAGAAGAAGCACCGGCUAACUCCGUGCCAGCAGCCGCGGUAAUACGGAGGGUGCAAGCGUUAAUCGGAAUUACUGGGCGUAAAGCGCACGCAGGCGGUUUGUUAAGUCAGAUGUGAAAUCCCCGGGCUCAACCUGGGAACUGCAUCUGAUACUGGCAAGCUUGAGUCUCGUAGAGGGGGGUAGAAUUCCAGGUGUAGCGGUGAAAUGCGUAGAGAUCUGGAGGAAUACCGGUGGCGAAGGCGGCCCCCUGGACGAAGACUGACGCU